This 927-nucleotide ribosomal RNA is filed under the name uncultured bacterium. RNAcentral describes it as "bacterial SSU rRNA". It matches the Rfam family "Bacterial small subunit ribosomal RNA", at positions 384 to 1294 of the family's 1533-position model. The record is from RNAcentral.
UGACGAAGCGACGCCGCGUGUGGGAAGAAGGCCUUCGGGUUGUAAACCACUGUCGGGAGUUAGGAAAUGCAGGUGCGUUAAUAGCGCACUUGCUUGACUAAGGCUCCAGGGGAAGCCACGGCUAACUCUGUGCCAGCAGCCGCGGUAAUACAGAGGCGGCAAGCGUUGUUCGGAAUUAUUGGGCGUAAAGAGCACGUAGGCGGCCUUGCAAGUCAGUUGUGAAAGCCUUCCGCUUAACGGAAGAACGGCAUCUGAUACUACAGGGCUUGAGUACGGGAGGGGAGAGUGGAACUUCUGGUGGAGCGGUGAAAUGCGUAGAUAUCAGAAGGAACGCCGGCGGCGAAAGCGACUCUCUGGUCCGAAACUGACGCUGAGUGUGCGAAAGCUAGGGGAGCAAACGGGAUUAGAUACCCCGGUAGUCCUAGCCGUAAACGAUGGGCACUAAGUAGAGGGGUUUUGAUUAUUUCUCUGCCGGAGCUAACGCAUUAAGUGCCCCGCCUGGGGAGUACGGCCGCAAGGCUAAAACUCAAAAGAAUUGACGGGGGCUCGCACAAGCGGUGGAGCAUGUGGCUUAAUUCGAUGCAACGCGAAGAACCUUACCGGGGCUUGACAUGGUAGAAGUAGAAUCCUGAAAGGGUGACGAUCGGUAUCCAGUAAGAAGCUAUCACAGGUGUUGCAUGGCUGUCGUCAGCUCGUGUCGUGAGACGUUGGGUUAAGUCCCCUAACGAGCGAAACCCUUGUCUUUAGUUGCUAACGGGUAAUGCUGAGCACUUUAGAGAGACUGCCGUCGUUAAGACGGAGGAAGGUGGGGACGACGUCAAGUCAUCAUGGCCCUUAUGUCCCGGGCUGCACACGUGCUACAAUGGUCGGUACAAAGGGAUGCUAAGUCGCGAGAUGGUGCGAAACCUAUAAAGCCGAUCUCAGUUC